Long non-coding RNA from Rosa chinensis, 286 nucleotides. RefSeq lists it as uncharacterized. NCBI's taxonomy places the organism in Eukaryota, Viridiplantae, Streptophyta, Magnoliopsida, Rosales, Rosaceae. The transcript has 3 exons. The record is from RefSeq and is a predicted model, not a curated record.
CAGAUCGGCGACCUCUCUCUCUCAGACCGACUCGGCGACUAACGACCUGUCUCUCAGACCGACUAACACCCAUCGUUCUCCUCCACAGCAGCAAGCAAGCAAGCCACCUCCGGUCCUCCACCUCCGGUCCCCUCAUCCGAUUCUUUACGCCGGAGUGAUCAGUAGCAAACAUUAUGAAGAGGCAAUCAAAAUCUGCUGCUACUAGUUCCGGUGCUAAUCCGAAAUCAACUUCUUCAUCUCAGUUUGUCACAGUUACUUUGGUAGUGCAAAUAUUUCAUAUAUGUUG